Molecule: ribosomal RNA, 859 nt
Filed under: fungal sp. EA10-19
Lineage: Eukaryota; Fungi
Description: partial 18S ribosomal RNA
Rfam family: Eukaryotic small subunit ribosomal RNA
Source: RNAcentral
ACUAUGCCGACUAGGGAUCGGGCGAUGUUAUUUUUUGACUCGCUCGGCACCUUACGAGAAAUCAAAGUUUUUGGGUUCUGGGGGGAGUAUGGUCGCAAGGCUGAAACUUAAAGAAAUUGACGGAAGGGCAAAAACAUUCGGUGGUGCCCUAAAUUUACUAAGUCCUCCGGGGCAAGGUCGCUGAACUGUGGGGACUCUCGUUCUGAGAUGCCCGCAGCUGUACUCACUAGAGUACGGUUCACAGGUCAAGCAGUGGCCGGCGGCGCUCAGCGCGCUGUUUUGAUAUGAUCGGUCUGCUCGUUAAGACGAGCAGGAACUUGCCACCAGGAGUGGAGCCUGCGGCUUAAUUUGACUCAACACGGGGAAACUCACCAGGUCCAGACACAAUAAGGAUUGACAGAUUGAGAGCUCUUUCUUGAUUUUGUGGGUGGUGGUGCAUGGCCGUUCUUAGUUGGUGGAGUGAUUUGUCUGCUUAAUUGCGAUAACGAACGAGACCUUAACCUGCUAAAUAGCCAGGCUAGCUUUGGCUGGUCGCCGGCUUCUUAGAGGGACUAUCGGCUCAAGCCGAUGGAAGUUUGAGGCAAUAACAGGUCUGUGAUGCCCUUAAUCUAGGGGUUUAGUAUUAAUUCUAGUCGCUAACGCGGCAACACUGCCACUCUGGCGGGAAAGCACCUUCGGGCGCAACCCGCAGCUGCCACAGGCAGCCCAGAGACUAAAUGACGGUGGGCGCAUCUGCGCUUCUGAUAUAGUCCAACCCCCGAGAGAGGUCUCGGGGUAUUCGUGUAGAUGUUCUGGGCCGCACGCGCGCUACACUGACAGAGCCAACGAGUUCAUCACCUUGGCCGAAAGGUCUGGGUAA